Molecule: small nucleolar RNA, 107 nt
Filed under: Nicotiana sylvestris (wood tobacco)
Lineage: Eukaryota; Viridiplantae; Streptophyta; Magnoliopsida; Solanales; Solanaceae
Also listed under: 1 other name
Description: Plant small nucleolar RNA R71
Rfam family: Plant small nucleolar RNA R71
About the family: R71 is a member of the C/D box family of snoRNAs containing the C (UGAUGA) and D (CUGA) box motifs.
Source: Rfam by way of RNAcentral
UGGUUGUGAUGAGGACAUUCUUUCAGCAGCCCCUUGAACCUUUCCCAAGCUGAAUAUAAUGACUCUCCCGAUUUCUGUUUAAAGGCAACUAUCUCACUUCUGAUCUU